UGCAGCAAGGUGCAACAGAGAGAGGGAGGACCUGUCGAGGCUUUGACUCGGUCAUGCGGCUAUCCACGAGGGCAAGGGUGCGGGGGUUGGUGACGCGACAGCUCGGGCGCGCUGGCAGCCAAAUGCGCACUCUGGGCGCGUCGAGAGCACGCACGCCAGGCAUUCGACAGAAUGUCUGGCGCCUCUAGCCUCUUCGAGUGAUGCUCCAAAUUAACAUAAAUUGGUUAGGGCCUAGGACAAGAUGGUUAGACAUGCUCGCUUGGGUAGUGGAGGAACUCCACAGUGUAGACUAACCUCAUGCCAAUUCUGACCACACACCAUAGGUGCUUGAUGAAAUGCGAGAGUCUUCAAAGGGGUUCUACUGCCAACAAAAAUCUAUAGAUCCCACUCUCUUUAGGUGUUAGUCAAAGUGUUAGGGUUAGUUUGUGAAAAUAAGAAAAUUGUUAGCACAACUUUUGGGGAAAAAACUUUCUGGACAGAAUCUUUAAGUUGUUAAUACAGGGAAUAAACAAUG
This 514-nucleotide long non-coding RNA is filed under the name Hordeum vulgare. Its description in RNAcentral is "long non-coding RNA (HVUL_LNC018471)". Lineage: Eukaryota; Viridiplantae; Streptophyta; Magnoliopsida; Poales; Poaceae. The record is from RNAcentral.